UACGGGGGGGGCAAGCGUUGUUCGGAAUUACUGGGCGUAAAGGGCUCGUAGGCGGCCAACUAAGUCGGACGUGAAAUCCCCGAGCUCAACUCGGGAACUGCGUCCGAUACUGGUGGGCUUGAAUCCGGGAGAGGGAUGCGGAAUUCCAGGUGUAGCGGUGAAAUGCGUAGAUAUCUGGAGGAACACCGGUGGCGAAGGCGGCAUCCUGGACCGGCAUUGACGCUGAGGCGCGAAAGCUAGGGGAGCAAACGGG
This 253-nucleotide ribosomal RNA is filed under the name uncultured bacterium. Its description in RNAcentral is "partial 16S ribosomal RNA". It matches the Rfam family "Bacterial small subunit ribosomal RNA", at positions 524 to 776 of the family's 1533-position model. The record is from RNAcentral.